UGGGGAAUUUUGGACAAUGGGCGAAAGCCUGAUCCAGCAAUGCCGCGUGUGUGAAGAAGGCCUUCGGGUUGUAAAGCACUUUUGUCCGGAAAGAAAUCCUUGGCUCUAAUACAGUCGGGGGAUGACGGUACCGGAAGAAUAAGCACCGGCUAACUACGUGCCAGCAGCCGCGGUAAUACGUAGGGUGCAAGCGUUAAUCGGAAUUACUGGGCGUAAGCGUGCGCAGGCGGUUUGCUAAGACCGAUGUGAAAUCCCCGGGCUCAACCUGGGAACUGCAUUGGUGACUGGCAGGCUAGAGUAUGGCAGAGGGGGGUAGAAUUCCACGUGUAGCAGUGAAAUGCGUAGAGAUGUGGAGGAAUACCGAUGGCGAAGGCAGCCCCCUGGGCCAAUACUGACGCUCAUGCACGAAAGCGUGGGGAGCAAACAGGAUUAGAUACCCUGGUAGUCCACGCCCUAAACGAUGUCAACUAGUUGUUGGGGAUUCAUUUCCUUAGUAACGUAGCUAACGCGUGAAGUUGACCGCCUGGGGAGUACGGUCGCAAGAUUAAAACUCAAAUGAAUUGACGGGGUCAUAGCUA
Molecule: ribosomal RNA, 578 nt
Filed under: uncultured bacterium
Lineage: Bacteria
Description: partial 16S ribosomal RNA
Rfam family: Bacterial small subunit ribosomal RNA
Source: RNAcentral